GUACAACUCUGAGCGGUGGAUCACUCGGCUCGUGUGUCGAUGAAGCGCGCAGCCAACUGUGUGAAUUAAUGUGAACUGCAUACUGCUUUGAACAUCGACAUCUUGAACGCACAUUGCGGCCACGGGUUUUCCUGUGGCCACGCCUGUCCGAGGGUCGGCU
This 160-nucleotide ribosomal RNA is filed under the name Centrocestus sp. RD-2003. RNAcentral's name for it is "5.8S ribosomal RNA". It matches the Rfam family "5.8S ribosomal RNA". From Rfam's summary of the family: 5.8S ribosomal RNA (5.8S rRNA) is a component of the large subunit of the eukaryotic ribosome. The record is from RNAcentral. Lineage: Eukaryota; Metazoa; Platyhelminthes; Trematoda; Opisthorchiida; Heterophyidae.